UCUCUCUCUCUCUCUCUCUCUCUCUCACUGGCCCACCACCGGCACGAGGGGCAGGUAACGAGAUCUCUAACGGGGUGUUCCGAUAUUAAUCAGCCGGACGAGAUCAGGUGAACGAUCGAUCGAUUUAUUUGUGAACGAUGCAUACAACGGUUUGGGCUGGAAAUGGGAUGGAAUGGCGCUGGUGGCAUACCAUGGGAACUCCUCCGAUCUGUGUCCCUGUACCCUGAACCGGGGUAUAUGCAGUUACGUUUGAUGACACUCGAAAUUAUGAGAGCUGCGUAAAAAUGCCCCAAAAUCAAUAGGACAUAAAGUAGAAGCACCGGCAGUCCGCGGUGAUAUCAUGUACCUGAAUAUGUUCCGUUGCGUUCUGUUCCGUUCCGUUAAUUUAAAUUGGAAUGGAACGAUAGGAAGAUGAAGUUAAAUGAAAAUUGUAAUUAUUUCCUUCGUCCCUUAAAUAGUUGCAUUGGGGUUCUCUCACUAGGAAAAUAUCUACCACCACCUUAUAACGGCGUGGAAAGUGACAAUCUUCGCUUUCACUGGCAUGUCGGUGUGUCAUCCUCCUCGAUCGUACGGGCAUCGAUGGGUGCUGCAAGGAAAACCAAACAAAGGUCACGAUAAACCCUUCCUGGCUAGCGACCUAGACUUGGGUGGUAAAGAUGACACUUUCUUUCCUCGGCCCCAUUUCCCCAUCCGUCCAUCCUCCCUAAUCUUCCCGCGUGGUUGUUCCCGCUGUGGAUUAUAGCACACCCGGGGCACGAUUCGAUUGGAAUCGCGGCAAGGGCAAAGCGAUUGAAUGUCAACCAUCUCGCCGUGGUUUGGUAGCUUCCCGAGUGGGGGGAAAAUUCACUUGCACAGCGAUGGGCCGCACGGUGUCAUUCGACUGAUCCGUUGUCCGAUGCUGCUGGGGAGAAAUUCUACUCAUUCGAAGGGUGAAAGAGAAAACGGUCGUGUCGUCACGAUCGGUGUGCGAAAUUCCGCAACCAGGUAAAAGGUUUUCCUUUUGGGAGGUCAUGUGGAGACAAAGCAAAUUUGAAUUUCAAAUACUUCCGCCUCAAUAACCGUUAGCGUGCGGUACGGGUAGUAGUAGGACAACAUAAUCAAUCACCGUACCGCACGCGAUUAUCACCACCAUUACAUGUUGAAUUUGGCGGCGAAUUAUGUGAAAUGUUAAUUAGUUUAAAAUAAUUUUGAGCACAAAAUUCAAAGUCAACUUGCCCUUGCUUUACUCCCGUUUGCUCAUUAGUUGUACCUCGCUGCGUAAGUGUGACGUGUGUGAGUGUGCUUUACUGGCCAUGAACCGUUAGCAGGUUUGACAACUCCAUUCGUUUAGUUUCCUUUUUUCGAUUUACAUGCUUCGAUAAAAUACGGCUCUUUUUUGUCUUUCAAUAAACUAUAACUAACUUAGUAAGAGAAAAUAAUUAAAUAAACUUUCACACUGUUAAACAGACA
Anopheles stephensi (Asian malaria mosquito) is the source of this 1449-nucleotide long non-coding RNA. RefSeq lists it as uncharacterized. The transcript is spliced from 2 exons. The record is from RefSeq and is a predicted model, not a curated record. NCBI's taxonomy places the organism in Eukaryota, Metazoa, Arthropoda, Insecta, Diptera, Culicidae.